CAGCCGCCACGGUAAUACGAAGGGUGCAAGCGUUAAUCGGAAUUACUGGGCGUAAAGCGUGCGUAGGCGGUGAGUUAAGUCUGCUGUGAAAUCCCCGGGCUCAACCUGGGAACUGCAUUUGUGACUGGCAAGCUAGGGUGUGGCAGAGGGGGGUGGAAUUCCGCAUGUAGCAGUGAAAUGCGUAGAUACGCGGAGGAACACCGAUGGCGAAGGCAGCCCCCUGGGCCAACACUGACGCUCAUGCACGAAAGCGUGGGGAGCAAACAGGAUUAGAGACCCCUGUAGUCCCUGUCUCUUAUAC
This 301-nucleotide ribosomal RNA is filed under the name uncultured bacterium. RNAcentral's name for it is "partial 16S ribosomal RNA". It matches the Rfam family "Bacterial small subunit ribosomal RNA", at positions 509 to 807 of the family's 1533-position model. The record is from RNAcentral.